This 1302-nucleotide ribosomal RNA is filed under the name Escherichia coli. RNAcentral describes it as "partial 23S ribosomal RNA". It matches the Rfam family "Bacterial large subunit ribosomal RNA", at positions 1534 to 2815 of the family's 2925-position model. The record is from RNAcentral. Lineage: Bacteria; Pseudomonadati; Pseudomonadota; Gammaproteobacteria; Enterobacterales; Enterobacteriaceae.
AGGCAAAUCCGGAAAAUCAAGGCUGAGGCGUGAUGACGAGGCACUACGGUGCUGAAGCAACAAAUGCCCUGCUUCCAGGAAAAGCCUCUAAGCAUCAGGUAACAUCAAAUCGUACCCCAAACCGACACAGGUGGUCAGGUAGAGAAUACCAAGGCGCUUGAGAGAACUCGGGUGAAGGAACUAGGCAAAAUGGUGCCGUAACUUCGGGAGAAGGCACGCUGAUAUGUAGGUGAGGUCCCUCGCGGAUGGAGCUGAAAUCAGUCGAAGAUACCAGCUGGCUGCAACUGUUUAUUAAAAACACAGCACUGUGCAAACACGAAAGUGGACGUAUACGGUGUGACGCCUGCCCGGUGCCGGAAGGUUAAUUGAUGGGGUUAGCGGUAACGCGAAGCUCUUGAUCGAAGCCCCGGUAAACGGCGGCCGUAACUAUAACGGUCCUAAGGUAGCGAAAUUCCUUGUCGGGUAAGUUCCGACCUGCACGAAUGGCGUAAUGAUGGCCAGGCUGUCUCCACCCGAGACUCAGUGAAAUUGAACUCGCUGUGAAGAUGCAGUGUACCCGCGGCAAGACGGAAAGACCCCGUGAACCUUUACUAUAGCUUGACACUGAACAUUGAGCCUUGAUGUGUAGGAUAGGUGGGAGGCUUUGAAGUGUGGACGCCAGUCUGCAUGGAGCCGACCUUGAAAUACCACCCUUUAAUGUUUGAUGUUCUAACGUUGACCCGUAAUCCGGGUUGCGGACAGUGUCUGGUGGGUAGUUUGACUGGGGCGGUCUCCUCCUAAAGAGUAACGGAGGAGCACGAAGGUUGGCUAAUCCUGGUCGGACAUCAGGAGGUUAGUGCAAUGGCAUAAGCCAGCUUGACUGCGAGCGUGACGGCGCGAGCAGGUGCGAAAGCAGGUCAUAGUGAUCCGGUGGUUCUGAAUGGAAGGGCCAUCGCUCAACGGAUAAAAGGUACUCCGGGGAUAACAGGCUGAUACCGCCCAAGAGUUCAUAUCGACGGCGGUGUUUGGCACCUCGAUGUCGGCUCAUCACAUCCUGGGGCUGAAGUAGGUCCCAAGGGUAUGGCUGUUCGCCAUUUAAAGUGGUACGCGAGCUGGGUUUAGAACGUCGUGAGACAGUUCGGUCCCUAUCUGCCGUGGGCGCUGGAGAACUGAGGGGGGCUGCUCCUAGUACGAGAGGACCGGAGUGGACGCAUCACUGGUGUUCGGGUUGUCAUGCCAAUGGCACUGCCCGGUAGCUAAAUGCGGAAGAGAUAAGUGCUGAAAGCAUCUAAGCACGAAACUUGCCCCGAGAUGAGUUCUCCC